RNAcentral lists this transfer RNA (77 nucleotides) under Brucella oryzae. RNAcentral describes it as "Ochrobactrum oryzae tRNA-Met". It matches the Rfam family "tRNA". Rfam says of the family: Transfer RNA (tRNA) molecules are approximately 80 nucleotides in length. Lineage: Bacteria; Pseudomonadati; Pseudomonadota; Alphaproteobacteria; Hyphomicrobiales; Brucellaceae. The record is from RNAcentral.
CGCGGGGUGGAGCAGCCCUCUAGCUCGUCAGGCUCAUACCCUGAAGGCAGCAGGAUCAAAUCCUGCCCCCGCAACCA